UCCCUAGUAGCUCAGUAGGUAGAGAUUCUGCUUACAAUAGCAGGAGAUCCGGGUUCGAUCCCUGGGUUGGGAA
RNAcentral lists this transfer RNA (73 nucleotides) under Ovis aries (sheep). It matches the Rfam family "tRNA". From Rfam's summary of the family: Transfer RNA (tRNA) molecules are approximately 80 nucleotides in length. Their secondary structure includes four short double-helical elements and three loops (D, anti-codon, and T loops). The record is from Rfam by way of RNAcentral. Lineage: Eukaryota; Metazoa; Chordata; Mammalia; Artiodactyla; Bovidae.